This is a transfer RNA of Zostera marina, 74 nucleotides long. It matches the Rfam family "tRNA". From Rfam's summary of the family: Transfer RNA (tRNA) molecules are approximately 80 nucleotides in length. Their secondary structure includes four short double-helical elements and three loops (D, anti-codon, and T loops). Further hydrogen bonds mediate the characteristic L-shaped molecular structure. tRNAs have two regions of fundamental functional importance: the anti-codon, which is responsible for specific mRNA codon recognition, and the 3' end, to which the tRNAs corresponding amino acid is attached (by aminoacyl-tRNA synthetases). tRNAs cope with the degeneracy of the genetic code in two manners: having more than one tRNA (with a specific anti-codon) for a particular amino acid; and 'wobble' base-pairing, i.e. permitting non-standard base-pairing at the 3rd anti-codon position. NCBI's taxonomy places the organism in Eukaryota, Viridiplantae, Streptophyta, Magnoliopsida, Alismatales, Zosteraceae. The record is from Rfam.
GCUGGAAUAGCUCAGUUGGUUAGAGCGUGUGGCUAUUAACCACAAGGUCGAAAGUUCGACCCCUUCUUUUAGCG